Molecule: small RNA, 332 nt
Filed under: Arabidopsis thaliana (thale cress)
Lineage: Eukaryota; Viridiplantae; Streptophyta; Magnoliopsida; Brassicales; Brassicaceae
Description: ATSL260450
Rfam family: U4 spliceosomal RNA (bases 159-309)
Source: RNAcentral
ACUUAUCCGAUAUGGUACUCUAGAAUCCAAUAGCUAAUACUUAACCGAACUAACCAAAUCGAAACCAUAUGCACAAAAAGUCCCACAUCGGAAGUAUAUUAUAGCUUCAUAGGUUCUGCUUGGCUAUAAAUGAAGAGGCUCUCCUUCUAUAAAAACUUAUCUUUGCGCUUGGGGCAAUGACGCAGCUAAUGAGGUAUUAACCGAGGCGCGUCUAUUGCUGGUUGAAAACUAUUUCCAAACCCCCUCCUAGGCCUAAGCUUGUCUUGGGCCUCUGAGAAUUUCUGGAAGAGCUCCCUUUGGGGUAAAGCUCCACAAUUCUUAGUUCAAUAGAU